CAGCCGCCACGGGAAUACAGAGGGUGCAAGCGUUAAUCGGAAUUACUGGGCGUAAAGCGCGCGUAGGUGGUUUGUUAAGUUGGAUGUGAAAGCCCCGGGCUCAACCUGGGAACUGCAUCCAAAACUGGCAAGCUAGAGUACGGUAGAGGGUGGUGGAAUUUACUGUGUAGCGGUGAAAUGCGUAGAUAUAGGAAGGAACACCAGUGGCGAAGGCGACCACCUGGACUGAUACUGACACUGAGGUGCGAAAGCGUGGGGAGCAAACAGGAUUAGAUACCCCAGUAGUCCCUGUCUCUUAUAC
RNAcentral lists this ribosomal RNA (301 nucleotides) under uncultured bacterium. Its description in RNAcentral is "partial 16S ribosomal RNA". It matches the Rfam family "Bacterial small subunit ribosomal RNA", at positions 509 to 807 of the family's 1533-position model. The record is from RNAcentral.